RNAcentral lists this ribosomal RNA (494 nucleotides) under uncultured bacterium. RNAcentral describes it as "partial 16S ribosomal RNA". It matches the Rfam family "Bacterial small subunit ribosomal RNA", at positions 30 to 507 of the family's 1533-position model. The record is from RNAcentral.
AUUGAACGCUGGCGGCAUGCUUUACACAUGCAAGUCGAACGGCAGCGGGGAGGAGCUUGCUUCUCUGCCGGCGAGUGGCGAACGGGUGAGUAAUACAUCGGAACGUGUCGAGAAGAGGGGGAUAACCACCCGAAAGGGUGGCUAAUACCGCAUAAAUUCUGAGGAAGAAAGCUGGGGACCUAGGAAUAGGCCUAGCGCUUUUUGAGCGGCCGAUGUCGGAUUAGCUAGUUGGUGAGGUAAAGGCUCACCAAGGCGAAGAUCUGUAGCGGGUCUGAGAGGAUGAUCCGCCACACUGGGACUGAGACACGGCCCAGACUCCUACGGGAGGCAGCAGUGGGGAAUUUUGGACAAUGGGGGCAACCCUGAUCCAGCCAUGCCGCGUGUAUGAAGAAGGUCUUAGGGUUGUAAAGUACUUUUGUUAGGGAAGAAAAGUCAGAUGUGAAUAACGUGCUAUACUGACGUUACCAAAAGAAUAAGCACCGGCUAACUACGUG